RNAcentral lists this unclassified non-coding RNA (163 nucleotides) under uncultured Mortierellomycotina. Its description in RNAcentral is "sequence contains ITS1". The record is from RNAcentral. Lineage: Eukaryota; Fungi; Mortierellomycota.
CAAUAAGUGUUUAUGGCACUUUCAAAUCCAUACCCACCUUGUGUGCAAUGUAAGAGCCCUUUCAGAACCCCCCCUUCUCUGGAGGGAGGAAGACUGGGCUUCAUUUUCUUCUCACACGUCUUCAAUUGCAAGUCUAACAUUCAGAGUAAUCAAAACUCGAAUA